UGCAUGUCUAAGUACAGACCUUCAUACGGUGAAACCGCGAAUGGCUCAUUAAAUCAGCUAUGGUUCCUUUGAUCAUACAUACUACAUGGAUACCUGUAGUAAUUCUAGAGCUAAUACAUGCCACUAUGCCCUGACCCUUCCGGGAACGGGUGGAUUUAUUAGAACAGAACCAAUACAGCUCCCGCUGUUUAUUCUGUGAUGACUCUGGAUAACUUAACUGAUCGCAGUCGGCCUUGCGUCGGCGACGGAUCUUUCAAAUGGCUGCCCUAUCAAUUGUCGAUGGUAGGUGACCUGCCUACCAUGGUAAUAACGGGUAACGGGGAAUCAGGGUUCGAUUCCGGAGAGGGAGCCUGAGAAACGGCUACCACAUCCAAGGAAGGCAGCAGGCGCGCAAAUUACCCAAUCCCGGUACGGGGAGGUAGUGACGAAAAAUACGGAGACGGGACUCUCUAUGGGCCUCCGACAUCCGAGUGAGUACAUUUUAAAUCCUUUAACGAGGAUCAACUGGAGGGCAAGUCUGGUGCCAGCAGCCGCGGUAACUCCAGCUCCAGAAGCGUAUAUUAAAGUUGUUGCAGUUAAAAAGCUCGUAGUUGGAUCUGGGUUGCAUGGCCGCACGUUGUGGUUGGUCCAUUGCAUCUAUUCAUGGUGUGGGGCUGCUUGAUGUCGUGGUUGUGUGAUCUUUCUGCCGUAUCUGUUUAUUCAGGUGCUGGUUGAUUU
Molecule: ribosomal RNA, 717 nt
Filed under: Didymozoidae sp. SJ-350
Lineage: Eukaryota; Metazoa; Platyhelminthes; Trematoda; Azygiida; Didymozoidae
Description: bacterial SSU rRNA
Rfam family: Eukaryotic small subunit ribosomal RNA
Source: RNAcentral